RNAcentral lists this ribosomal RNA (253 nucleotides) under uncultured bacterium. RNAcentral's name for it is "partial 16S ribosomal RNA". It matches the Rfam family "Bacterial small subunit ribosomal RNA", at positions 524 to 776 of the family's 1533-position model. The record is from RNAcentral.
UACGUAGGUGGCGAGCGUUGUCCGGAUUUACUGGGCGUAAAGAGCGCGCAGGCGGUCGUCCAAGUCGCGUGUGAAAGCCCCCGGCUCAACUGGGGAGGGUCACGCGAUACUGAUCGACUCGAAGGCAGGAGAGGGUAGUGGAAUUCCCGGUGUAGUGGUAAAAUGCGUAGAUAUCGGGAGGAACACCAGUGGCGAAGGCGACUACCUGGCCUGUUCUUGACGCUGAGGCGCGAAAGCGUGGGGAGCAAACAGG